This 404-nucleotide ribosomal RNA is filed under the name bacterium. RNAcentral describes it as "partial 16S ribosomal RNA". It matches the Rfam family "Bacterial small subunit ribosomal RNA", at positions 355 to 776 of the family's 1533-position model. The record is from RNAcentral.
UAAGGAAUAUUGCGCAAUGGGGGAAACCCUGACGCAGCAACGCCGCGUGGAGGAUGACACUUUUCGGAGCGUAAACUCCUUUUAUCAGGAAAGAAUAAUGACGGUACCUGAUGAAUAAGCACCGGCUAACUCCGUGCCAGCAGCCGCGGUAAUACGGGGGGUGCAAGCGUUACUCGGAAUCACUGGGCGUAAAGGACGCGUAGGCGGAUUAUCAAGUCUUUUGUGAAAUCUAGUGGCUUAACCACUAAACUGCUUAGGAAACUGAUAGUCUAGAGUAGGGGGGAGGUAGAUGGAAUUCUUGGGUAGGGGUAAAAUCCGUAGAGAUCAAGAAGAAUACCCAUUGCGAAAGCGAUCUGCUGGAACCUAACUGACGCUGAGGCGUGAAAGCGUGGGUAGCAAACAGG